AUGAAACUUUACCACAUCUCCUGGGAAAUUCUCCGGGCAGUCCUUCCAAGUCAUUUUCGGAGAUCUCGCUAUGGCAGGUAUUCCAGGACUGCCAACCUGCCGAACAGCCUCUGCAGAAACUCCGUGCACCCUUCUGUUGAGCACUCUGAGGAAGUAACAGUCUUCAGGCAGGAUCAAAAAUGGGAUUCCAUAUUACCUGCAAGCAUAAAAGCCCUAAAGACAGAAAAUGAGAAGUUAUUUAUUGUGUCACUAAUAUGUCUGCAACUAGAAGAGUCUGAGGAAAGAGCAGAAAAAACAAAUAGUAAAUCUUGUUCUGAUACAAGGGAUUAGAUCUGAUAGAGUGCCUGAAGAACUAUGGAUGGAGGUUCAUGACAUUGUACAUGAGGCAGUGAUCAAG
RNAcentral lists this long non-coding RNA (397 nucleotides) under Bos indicus x Bos taurus (hybrid cattle). RNAcentral's name for it is "lncRNA (ENSBIXG00000029737.1)". The record is from RNAcentral. Lineage: Eukaryota; Metazoa; Chordata; Mammalia; Artiodactyla; Bovidae.